CCUACGGGAGACAGCAGUAGGGAAUAUUGCACAAUGGGCGAAACCCUGAUGCAGCAACGCCGCGUGAGCGAUGAAGGUUUUCGGGUCGUAAACUUCUGUCCUUAAGGAAGAUUAUGACGGUAUCUGACGAAUAAGCACCGGCUAACUACGUGCCAGCAGCCGCGGUAAUACGUAGGGGGCUAGCGUUACCCGGAAUCACUGGGCGAAAAGGGUGCGUAGGCGGGGUAUUAAGUCAGAGGUGAAAGCCUACGGCUAAACUACAGUACGCCUUUGAAAAUGGUGAUCUUGAGUUCAGGAGAGGAAGGUGGAAUUCCUGGUGUAGGGGUGAAAUGCGUAGAGAUCAAGAGGAAUACCAGUUGCGAAGGCGGCUCGCUGGACUAUUACUGACACUGAUGCACGAAAGCGUGGGGAGCAAACAGGAUUAGAUACCCGGGUAGUC
RNAcentral lists this ribosomal RNA (439 nucleotides) under uncultured bacterium. RNAcentral describes it as "partial 16S ribosomal RNA". It matches the Rfam family "Bacterial small subunit ribosomal RNA", at positions 338 to 795 of the family's 1533-position model. The record is from RNAcentral.